This 598-nucleotide small RNA is filed under the name Pongo abelii (Sumatran orangutan). RNAcentral's name for it is "retained intron". Lineage: Eukaryota; Metazoa; Chordata; Mammalia; Primates; Hominidae. The record is from RNAcentral.
AGCGAGGGCCGGAGCGGGGUUGAGGCUUGGGUGCAGAGCUGGAGAACCGCGGCUGGGGCCGGAGUGAGGAGCGCGGCGUGGAGGUGCCACCCGCGGGUGGCGGAGAGAUCAGAAGCCUCUUCCUCAAGCCGAGCCAACCUCAGCGGGGACCCGGGCUCAGGGGCGCGGCGGCGGCGACUGCAGCGGCUGGACGAUGGCAGCGCCCGCCGAAGCCGGGGCGGUGAUUGCAGCCCCAGACAGCCGGCGCUGGCUGUGGUCGGUGCUGGCGGCGGCGCUUGGGCUCUUGACAGCUGGAGUAUCAGCCUUGGAAGUAUAUACGCCAAAAGAAAUCUUCGUGGCAAAUGGUACACAAGGGAAGCUGACCUGCAAGUUCAAGUCUACUAGUACAACUGGCGGGUUGACCUCAGUCUCCUGGAGCUUCCAGCCAGAGGGGGCCGACACUACUGUGUCGGUAAGAAUGCUUGACUGCUCUUGGCUAGUCCUGCCUCACAGGUUUCUUUACUGCUGUAUAAUUAGUGAUCCAUUUUUCUGAUGGUUCAUUUCCAAAAUGAGUGUAUUUUUUAUCUAUUAUAGCCUUCAAGGCCCUUCUCUUGCUUCA